ACGGGUUUAGCUCAGUCGGUAGAGCACUGGUCUCCAAAACCAGGUGUCGGGGGUUCGAGCCCUCCAACCCGUGCAA
RNAcentral lists this transfer RNA (76 nucleotides) under Segatella buccae D17. RNAcentral's name for it is "Prevotella buccae D17 tRNA-Trp". It matches the Rfam family "tRNA". Rfam says of the family: Transfer RNA (tRNA) molecules are approximately 80 nucleotides in length. Their secondary structure includes four short double-helical elements and three loops (D, anti-codon, and T loops). Further hydrogen bonds mediate the characteristic L-shaped molecular structure. tRNAs have two regions of fundamental functional importance: the anti-codon, which is responsible for specific mRNA codon recognition, and the 3' end, to which the tRNAs corresponding amino acid is attached (by aminoacyl-tRNA synthetases). tRNAs cope with the degeneracy of the genetic code in two manners: having more than one tRNA (with a specific anti-codon) for a particular amino acid; and 'wobble' base-pairing, i.e. permitting non-standard base-pairing at the 3rd anti-codon position. Lineage: Bacteria; Pseudomonadati; Bacteroidota; Bacteroidia; Bacteroidales; Prevotellaceae. RNAcentral also lists the same sequence under 2 other names. The record is from RNAcentral.